CCACGGUAACCGCGGGCCGCCAGGAAUGCGCGCUAAUUGAAGGCCGAGUUUCCUCCCACAGUGAUGAGCAACAAGUGAAGCAAAAAUAGGCAGUGAACGGCCGCGAACGACGUCAUUUAUGGUUCAAAAAUCUUAGGGCAAUUUUUUCAGAAAACAACUAUUACGUCAAACCCCCACCUCUUUGCUGGGCCCCUCUGCUCGAUUCAGGUACCUAGAUGAAUGGAGAUGUACGUGCACAUACAUAGGUCCCCAGGAACGAAAUGCCAGAUAGCAGCAGGGUUCAGCAGGUGGAGUCCAGAGAGAAGCAUCCAGGCUGGGGGACAAUGCCGAGCUGGGAGAGCUGUGCUAAAGUGACGAAAGAAGAUGGACGAGAGAUACCCAAAGAAGCCUCCAGGAAAACACAUCGCUUGCUCCAGGAGUGUGUUCCCAGAGUGUCGACACAGCUCCAGCGUUUCUCACAGCCUCUGCUGCCAGGAAAGGAUAAAACACCACCCAUAUUCAGGAACAAAGACAGAGUGAACCCUCCUUCAAGUCUUAUUGCUAGAUGGCACCUGUUGCUAAAAUAGCAGCUGCCGCCAUUGUUUGCUCCUCUACUUUGCUGAGGCUGAGAGGCAGCUUGUCUGUCCACACCUCUGACAGCAGUGAUGGGAUGAGGAGAAAGCAGGAGCAGGGAGCAGAGGAUGAUCAAUGGGAUCCCAGGAGUCAGUCUCACUUUUGGAGCAAAGAAUCCCCAGCCAUCUGACAGCUGAGCUGGUCCUGAUAACUAACCUG
RNAcentral lists this long non-coding RNA (771 nucleotides) under Homo sapiens (human). Its description in RNAcentral is "HSALNT0296339". The record is from RNAcentral. Lineage: Eukaryota; Metazoa; Chordata; Mammalia; Primates; Hominidae.